UAGGUCCUACGGGGGGCAGCAGUGGGGAAUAUUGCACAAUGGGGGGAACCCUGAUGCAGCGACGCCGCGUGAGUGAAGAAGUAUUUCGGUAUGUAAAGCUCUAUCAGCAGGGAAGAAGAUGACGGUACCUGACUAAGAAGCCCCGGCUAACUACGUGCCAGCAGCCGCGGUAAUACGUAGGGGGCAAGCGUUAUCCGGAUUUACUGGGUGUAAAGGGAGCGUAGACGGCAGGGCAAGUCUGGGGUGAAAGCCCGGGGCCCAACCCCGGGACUGCUUUGGAAACUGCCAUGCUAGAGUGAUGGGGG
Molecule: ribosomal RNA, 305 nt
Filed under: uncultured bacterium
Lineage: Bacteria
Description: bacterial SSU rRNA
Rfam family: Bacterial small subunit ribosomal RNA
Source: RNAcentral